Molecule: unclassified non-coding RNA, 330 nt
Filed under: uncultured Ascomycota
Lineage: Eukaryota; Fungi; Ascomycota
Description: sequence contains 5.8S rRNA gene, ITS2, 28S rRNA gene
Rfam family: 5.8S ribosomal RNA (bases 1-52)
Source: RNAcentral
AACGCACAUUGCGCCUUCCGGUAUUCCGGGAGGCACGUCUGUUUGAGCGUCAGCUAUACCCCUCCGGCCCCCCCCGGUUACAAAACCGGGGGAUCCCGGGCUUGCUGGCGCAGGGGACGCUGGCCGCCGCGUUUCGGCGCGGGUCGGGCCUUCCCCCGCUUAAAACCGUGGAAGAUAGCGGGCACGGCCCCGGAUAGCGAGCGACUCGUAGGACCUUACCGUCGUCUCUGCGCCUUCCGGCCUGCCCCGCCUCCACCGACUGAGGGUUGGCUCCGGCCGCCUUCUUGAACUCUUGACCUCAAAUCAGACGAGGAUACCCGCUGAACUUAA